GCUGGGCGUUGUGGCGGGCACCUGUAAUCCCAGCUACUUGGGAAGCUGAGGCAAGAAAAUUGCUUAAGCCCAAGAGUUUGAGGUUGCUGUGAGCUGUGAGUUCACAGCACUUUACCGAGAGUGACAUAUUGGGACUCUGUCUCAAAAAAAAAAAAUCUAUAUUUCUUUUGUUUUUUUGAGACAGAGUCUCACUUUGUCGCUCUUAGUAGAGUGCCGUGGGGUCACAUCUCACAACAACCUCAAACUCUUGGGUUCAAGUGAUUCUCUUGCCU
RNAcentral lists this small RNA (272 nucleotides) under Otolemur garnettii (small-eared galago). RNAcentral describes it as "Metazoan signal recognition particle RNA (ENSOGAG00000029088.1)". Lineage: Eukaryota; Metazoa; Chordata; Mammalia; Primates; Galagidae. The record is from RNAcentral.